Molecule: ribosomal RNA, 465 nt
Filed under: uncultured bacterium
Lineage: Bacteria
Description: partial 16S ribosomal RNA
Rfam family: Bacterial small subunit ribosomal RNA
Source: RNAcentral
GACAAACGCUGGCGGCGUGCUUAACACAUGCAAGUCGUACGGUAAGGCCCUUUCGGGGGUACACGAGUGGCGCACGGGUGAGUAACACGUGAGUAACCUGCCCACAACUUUGGGAUAACGCUAGGAAACUGGUGCUAAUUCUGGAUAUGUGCUCCUGCUGCAUGGUGGGGGUUGGAAAGCUCCGGCGGUUGUGGAUGGACUCGCGGCGUAUCAGCUUGUUGGUGGGGUAGUGGCCUACCAAGGCGGCGACGGGUAGCUGGCCUGAGAGGGUGAGCGGCCACAUUGGGACUGAGAUACGGCCCAGACUCCUACGGGAGGCAGCAGUGGGGAAUAUUGCACAAGGGGCGCAAGCCGGAUGCAGCAACGCCGCGUGCGGGAUGACGGCCUUCGGGUUGUAAACCGCUUGCAGCAGGGACGAAGCUUUUUGUGACGGUACCUGCAGAAGAAGCACCGGCUAACUACGUG